This is a long non-coding RNA of Osmia bicornis bicornis, 519 nucleotides long. RefSeq lists it as uncharacterized. The transcript is spliced from 5 exons. The record is from RefSeq and is a predicted model, not a curated record. NCBI's taxonomy places the organism in Eukaryota, Metazoa, Arthropoda, Insecta, Hymenoptera, Megachilidae.
CUGACUUGUAAAGAAGAUUGAAUUGUUGCAACAACUUUUAUCGGACUUGAAAAAAAUGAAUUUGAUCUCUUCAAAUACCAGCAAUGUAAUUGAGUGCUUCUCUCCCUACCUCCGUACUUCAUGUGGUUGUACAUGGCGGCAGCGUGGGUGACUGAAUUUCCAGUUUUUUCUAGGUUUAUAGGUUUUUCAAUAACUUCUGCUGAUGAGAUGCAGCAACAUGAGGAGAAGAUAGAAAUUAAAAAGAGAAAGAAAAUAUGCAGCAUCAGAGGGUGUAUUAACGAAAACAGCAGGAUGUUCUCCUUCCCCCAAGAGAGAAAGGAUAAGAAGAGGCGCAGUGGGUGGAAGUAUGUGACAAUCCAAAGUCGAUGCUUCCACCUAAAAACUGAAAUUCCGGGUGAUUUGUAGCAGCUACUUUAAAGAAAAAUACUUCAUGAGAAAAAGAUUAACAACAUCAGCAGUUCCAACACUGAACUUACUUGUGUCAGAGGCUACCUCUAUUAAAAUAGAGCGACAAGACAC